AUUAUGAAAAGCAAAAAAUUAUGGCGGUAUUUUAAGCUUCUCAGAGGAAUUUGCUCUUUAAUGGAUAAAACGCCAAAAUCUUACUUAAAUUUGUUAGUUCAAUUUGUAUACCACUAUAAAAACAAUUUAUAACUUUAAUUGUUUAAAUUUAUUAAAUUAAAAUAUAUUAAGUCAAGGUGCAGUAAAAAUUUAAGAAUGAAGUGAAUUACAUUACUUUUUAGUGAAAAAAAAUUAUAAUAAUACUUAGGAUUUGAAAGUAAAUUUGAAAUAGGAUGUCAAUUUGAAUCAAGCUCUAAAAUAUGUACACA
This 308-nucleotide ribosomal RNA is filed under the name Rhipicephalus sanguineus (brown dog tick). RNAcentral describes it as "partial 12S ribosomal RNA". The record is from RNAcentral. Lineage: Eukaryota; Metazoa; Arthropoda; Arachnida; Ixodida; Ixodidae.